Molecule: transfer RNA, 72 nt
Filed under: Candidatus Roizmanbacteria bacterium
Lineage: Bacteria; Candidatus Roizmaniibacteriota
Description: tRNA-Trp
Rfam family: tRNA
About the family: Transfer RNA (tRNA) molecules are approximately 80 nucleotides in length. Their secondary structure includes four short double-helical elements and three loops (D, anti-codon, and T loops).
Source: RNAcentral
AGGGGUGUGGUGAAAUUGGUAUCAUGCGGGUCUCCAAAACCCUUGUUCCAGGUUCAAGUCCUGGCACCCCUG